CCUAGUCAAUAUCCUAUCAAAAAUUAUAGCAAGUUUGUUAUGAUAUCCACAAGGUUUGCUAUGAGGAUUGAUGUGAAUUUAUCUUGGUGCAUAUUAGAUGCUUUACAGCAUAUUUUGGAUUUGUUGCUUUGUUAUGAUAUCCACAAAGACAGUAUUUUUCAGAUAUGACUGUAUAAAAAUGAAGGAUCUGACUUAACUAAAAAUACUAUUAUUUGUUAUGAUAUCCAUAAGGCCAUAAGUGUUUUUAGAGGUAGGAUUA
RNAcentral lists this long non-coding RNA (259 nucleotides) under Elaeis guineensis (African oil palm). Its description in RNAcentral is "long non-coding RNA (EGUI_LNC038415)". Lineage: Eukaryota; Viridiplantae; Streptophyta; Magnoliopsida; Arecales; Arecaceae. The record is from RNAcentral.